AAACUGGCUACUCGGCACAGGACUUUGUAAAUGUUGUGACAAAUCGAAACGUGACAGAUCCUGGUCCUGGCUGAAAUUUAAAGUAUUACAGCUGUAGCUUCUAUACCAUAAAUUUAACAUGGAAAGGACUGUUCUUGGGAAAAUGCUGACGUAACUGAUGGGAGCAGUUUUUCUUACCAAUCAUAGAAGCAGUAGAAGUAUUCAAACACCAUCAUGACACACUUUAGACAUACCAAGAGAGCUCUAGAAGAAGAACUAGUGGUAGAUUGGAACAGAUUGUAGCUUAAUUGUUAAACUAAAAGGACUUCUUAAAUCGUUUGAAUUUUAGCUACACUUGAACUGUAGUUUUUAAAUAAAAUAGCUGAAGUAUUUAAUAGUGUCUUGAUUUUUUUUGUUAAACUCUGUUACGUACAGUACUUUGCUUUAUAUUUAUAUUAAAGUAUGUUGAAAUGACAU
Long non-coding RNA from Ruditapes philippinarum (Manila clam), 456 nucleotides. RefSeq lists it as uncharacterized. The transcript is spliced from 3 exons. The record is from RefSeq and is a predicted model, not a curated record. NCBI's taxonomy places the organism in Eukaryota, Metazoa, Mollusca, Bivalvia, Venerida, Veneridae.